This is a non-coding RNA of Paramuricea clavata, 241 nucleotides long. The record is from the annotation of a GenBank genome assembly. Lineage: Eukaryota; Metazoa; Cnidaria; Anthozoa; Malacalcyonacea; Plexauridae.
GAAUGGUUCAAUAUGGCUUACAUUCAACUAUUAUUUCUUCGUAUAGACCAGCCAAAAAAACAAACAAAAUUUCGGUGGAAAACUACACAUGAUGUGUGGCUUUUGACCGAAGUAAUUUCCAUCGAGCCUUAUAGAUGGAAACAUGGCUCUCGGGAGCGAGGAGAUGCUUUCAGGAAUAUAGCAGUAAAUUUGACAGAGAUACCAAACUCCGGUUUCCCUGCAAGCCUUAACCAACGUUCAG